GUUGGUUAUCGUGGGAAUUGAUGCAUCUCAAUCAGGAGAAGAAUAUUGGAAAUCUGUUUGGCCAAACACUCCUCUGCCUAAAGCUCUUUUAGAUUUGCUGCUGCCUGUUUCAUCUACUGUUGGGGCUUUGUCAAUGAACAUGUGAUCAAAUUCAGUUGGUUGGUUUGUGGUGUCUAAAUUGAUGUUCUUCAUGUGAAAUGGUGGAUGGAAUACAGGUAGGAUAGGUUGAUCUUCUGCUUUCAUAUCUUCAUCAACAUCAUUGUAUUUAGAAUCAUCGGAUGAUUCAUCAAAGUAUGUUUCAUCCUCUUCACUAUAGUCACCUAAUUCUUCCUCGUUGAUAUUAUACAAGACACUAAGCGGAAGAUCAUAUUGUGGACUUGUUGGGAGAGAUUUGUGACAGAGUUGUUGGGAGACAUUGUGGACUUGUUGAGUUUGUUCAUUUUGGCUAGAGUAUGGUUCAUAGUGUUGUGAUAGAGAAUAUACGUCAAGUUGAUAAGGGGUUCUUUGAUCAAAAGAUGGAAUGUAGUCGGGUUGAUAAUGAUCGAAUGAUUGGAUGUAGUUGGGAUUAGGUACGUUUGAGGUUGAUGGUUGAUUUGUUGAAGUAGGACCACUUUCAAAUGUAAUAUAUAACUCGAUGGUGCUGAUUUGUGACCACUGUGCAUAAACAUCAAACAUGAGUUGAACAUCUUCGUCAUCGCAAACCUUCAUCAGUUAUCAUGACACUGUCGUUGAGUUGUAACUUUUUCUUAAUGAAAUUCUUUAGACGAGCUAGGUUGCUGCUAGAAUAUACUUUGAACACCUCUUUGUAAUCACUUACAAAUGUUUUACCUUCAACUCCAUCGACAAUUGAACCAUUGUAAUAAACAACACAAAUGACUUGUUGAGCAACCAUGAUUAUGUAAUUGAUUAAGUAUGAAAUGUUAGACUGUAUGAUGAGAUAGAAGGUGUGGUGAUAUAGUGUGAUCUAGUUUUCUAUUUAUACAAGUUAGUAAAGUGUAGAAGAUCAAAAUUUAAUAUUUAAUAGAAUCAAUUUGAUUGGUCCAAAUAAAAUAACAAGGAUUCAUAUUUUUCUACUGAACCAUCCAUAGUCAUUGAUAAAUUAAUUUGGAUGGUCAAGAUUUAAUAUUUAAUAGAAUCAAGUUGAUUGGUCCUGGUAAAAUAACAAGGAUUCAUAUUUUUCUACUGAACCAUCCACAAUUGCUGAUAAAUUAAUUUGGAUGGUCAAGAUUAAAGGUUUAAUAGAUCAAUUUGAUUGGUCCAACUAAAAUAACAAGGAUUCUUACUAUUCUACUGAACCAUCCACGACUGUUGAUAAACUACUUUGGAUUGUCCAAAUUAAAUAAAAUGAAAUGAACAAGGAUCCACACCUUUGACUGUAACAAGCAUCCACACUUUUGAUUGUAACUAGGAUCCACAACCAUCGAUUAGAUGAAAUGAGUGGCUCGAAUUCAUCCGUAAGGGAUCGCAACCUGGGGAUGCGACGUCUCAAAGAGAGUGUUGCCUGGGGAUGCGACGUCCCAAAUGGAUCGCUGACGGGGGGGAUCGCAACGUGGCCCUGCGAUUUCCUAGAUAAAGUAUCCAAACCAACGUUCUCAAAUACACUUCCUCCAACAUUCUUAAUCUAAAUUUCUUAAAUCACAUAGCUGAAAAUUUCUACAAUGCAUUUGUAAUUUCUUCAAAGUUCUCAAACACACUUUCUCCAAUUUUUCUAAUGGAAUUAUCUACAAAUCACAUAGCUGAAGUUCAAUACAUUAACGCAUUUGUAAGUAUUUUAUAUUAGUGUCAUAUAUAUUGAGUAUUUUAUAUUACUAUCAUAUACAUUAUUUUCAAAUAUAUUAGCGUAGUACUUUAUAUAUUAUUAAUUUCAUAUACCCUCCAAGGACAAACUGAGAUGUCAUGGCCAUGUCAACAAUAAACCGAACGAAGCCAUAUUACCAUAUUUGCAACAGGUCGAAUUUGGUGAAGUGAUUAAACUUGAAAACUAUAAAAUAGAUCUCUGUUUGAUUACUGCUACGGUUGAAAGAUGGAGACCAGAAACUCAUACUUUUCAUCUCCUAAUAGGUGAAUGCACAAUAACUUUAGAAGACAUAUACUACAUUUUAGGAUUAAAUGUUUCUGAUUUUCCUGUUAGCGGUUCAAAUUUUGUGAAUGUUAAAGAUGUUUGUCAAGAAUACUUUGGAGUUAUCCUACCCGAGGGAGCAACGAAGGGUAAUUUAUUAAAUUAAAAUGGCUUAAAGAUACUUUUGACGAUGUUGGUGAAAAUGCAUCUGAAGUAGAAAAAGAAGCAUCAUGUCGAGCAUAUAUACUACGUAUGAUCAGAGAAUUGUUGGUGUCGGACAAAUCCAACAAUCGUGUACAUUUAAAAUAUCUUUCACUCUUGGGCGAUUUAAAUAAAGCAUCCCAAUAUAGUUGGGGUUCGGCAAUUUUAGCAACACUCUAUAGAGAAUUAUGCCUUGCUACGAAACCCGACGUGAUAUCGAUGGGAGGAUGUGCAUUGUUGUUGCAAAACCGGACAUAGUAUCAUUUGACUUGUGUUGCUCUAGAUGCACCAAGUGCAUGAAUAUUUCCACUUGCACAAAGAUUUAAUUUCGGUGGUCUAAAUUUCAGUAGAGUUCCUCACAAUGAUAUAGAAGGAUAUCAGAAUACAAUCGAUCAUAUGAUGGUUCAGGAAUUUCGUUGGAGACCGUAUCUCGGAUUCCAACAUGAGGUAGCCGAACAAGAGAUGAACACUUGGACUGCAUGUACCUAUCUGCAUUAUUAUCAUAUCAUCGAAAAACAUUAUGCAGAUAGAGUCACACUUUCAGUUUGGCUUCCAUCAACAAAUUCCGCAACCUUCGGAGGAUAUGACAAUCUAUCAUGAGGUCGACAUGAGGCGUGACAUUGAUGAUAAUUGGAGUGUGGUUUGAAAAGAUGAGAUUUAACAUUAGAAUGAACGUUAUAAUUACGUAUUGCAAGGUCAAUUCAUAGAAGGUGUUUUACACCAGAGUAAAGAAUAUAUGAAUUGGUUCAUACAUCACACCAAAUUAUAUAUAUAUAUGUGGAAAGAUACCUGUGUGAUCCACGUUUGCAACCUUCAACAUAUCCUGAUGUUCACUCAACCCCUCAAUCAAUCCCACAACAACAUAGCAUGCAUUAAACACCAUUUUUUAUCAUCACCACCACAUCUACAUGAAUCUGCAGAUAUACUGACUCAGUACUACGUUCCUUCAGUGCAAACAAUACCAACUCCCGUUAAUCCGACAUGGAGUGAGAUUUUUUAUAAUUUAUUUGGUACUCAUUGUACAACUCCUGAGUCGGCUUAUGCUAUUUUUGAUUCCAUGUAUAACAUCAAAACUCAAAUUUAUACCGAAGCAGGUGGUAGUGGUUCUAAUCCACA
This is a non-coding RNA of Cicer arietinum (chickpea), 3376 nucleotides long. Lineage: Eukaryota; Viridiplantae; Streptophyta; Magnoliopsida; Fabales; Fabaceae. The record is from RefSeq and is a predicted model, not a curated record.